This 253-nucleotide ribosomal RNA is filed under the name uncultured bacterium. RNAcentral's name for it is "partial 16S ribosomal RNA". It matches the Rfam family "Bacterial small subunit ribosomal RNA", at positions 524 to 776 of the family's 1533-position model. The record is from RNAcentral.
UACGGAGGAUGCAAGCGUUAUCCGGAAUGAUUGGGCGUAAAGCGUCCGCAGGUGGCUAUGUAAGUCUGCUGUUAAAGAGUGAGGCUCAACCUCAUAAGAGCAGUGGAAACUACAUGGCUAGAGUGCGUUCGGGGCAGAGGGAAUUCCUGGUGUAGCGGUGAAAUGCGUAGAGAUCAGGAAGAACACCGGUGGCGAAGGCGGCAUCCUGGACCAUUACUGACGCUGAGGCGCGAAAGCUAGGGGAGCAAACGGG